RNA transcript from Capsicum annuum, 2055 nucleotides. It is a transcript of the gene named mitogen-activated protein kinase 18, with no coding region annotated. The transcript has 8 exons. The record is from RefSeq and is a predicted model, not a curated record. NCBI's taxonomy places the organism in Eukaryota, Viridiplantae, Streptophyta, Magnoliopsida, Solanales, Solanaceae.
AUAGAAAGGUGAAAGAAGGGACGAUCAGGGGCAAAUUAGUCAUUUUGCACCAUCAAAAGAGACUCCAGAAUAAUCCAUCUCUUCACGGACUCUUCACAUCCAUAUCUGUUUACCAACUCUCACCUAUCUCUCUGCUUCUCCGUCUUCUUCAGCUGAUGAAGAUGUAGUUGCUUUCUCAGUGGCGACAAAUCGAUUGUCAACUCCUCAAACUAACAGCUACUGGAAUUAAUUUUUUAGAAUUCUAAAGUUAUUUUCGAGCUGUGAAAAAAUUUCAAGUAAUGAUCUAUUUCAACCAUCUUUCUGAGGAGGUCACGGGUUCAAGCCUUGAAAACAGUUCCUUGCAGAAAUGCAAGGUAAGGCUGGGUACAAUACACUCUUGUGGUGGGACCUUUCCUCGGAACCUGGGCAAAGCGGGAGCUAUAGUGCAUCGGGCUGCCUUUUAUACGUUGUCAACUUUAAUGUGGUUGAUCUGAAACUUAGAUGCAGUAUUUAAUGCAAACAAGGGAAACAUAUAUAUGGGGAUAUGUAAGCCAAAGAGGGAAGCUUAGAAUCAAACUUGAACCUCCCAGAUUACCCAGAAAAUGUUCUCAAGGGAAAUUUCCUCUUGCGGUUUCUAGAUGAUGUUACAUCCUCAUUCUGGCAAAGAUCAGCCGCUUUCUCAUUUAUAUACCUUCUAUUGAUAUCUGGAGUAUUGGAUGUAUUUUCGCGGAGGUCCUGACAGGGAAACCAUUAUUUUCGGGCAAAAGUGUUGUUCAUCAAUUGGAUUUGAUUACUGAUCUUCAUGGAACGCCAUCAGCUGAUAUUAUAUCGGGGGUUCGUAAUGAGAAGGCAAGGAAGUAUUUGACAGACAUGAAGAAAAAGAGCCCAGUUCCUUUUACUAAGAAAUUUCAAAAAGCAGAUCUUUUGGCACUUCGACUGUUGCAGAGGUUGUUAGCAUUUUAUCCAAAGGAUCGCCCAACUUCUGAAGAGAUACACACACAUAUAUAUUCCUGAUAUAGAUGAAUGGCAUCUUGCUUGUCCCUUUCUAAUUUCAUUUUUAUUUUUAUUUCUUGUGUUUUUUCCUCCCAUCUUAUAGGCUUUGGCUGAUCCGUACUUCAAAGGACUGGCCAAGAUUGAGAGGGGAAAUAGACACAGUAAGUCUGUAGCAUAUGUUUUUUAUGUGUAAUGUAUAUUUGUAAGCAUCUCAAUUUGGCGAUGCAAACAGACACUUGGUGACUAUUUUGCUGAAAGGAAAAUAUGGUGUUGAUACUCAAGAUAUUACAUGAUGCUUGAGGAAAGAUGGAUCCUUAAUUGGAGUCUUGAGCACAGAGAUUUCAAAAGUAAAAAGAACUUCUAAAAGUGUCCCCCUACAUGAGAUAUUGUUGGAUGCAAUGGGGAACGGCUCAAAGGUGUGAUGGCUUGAGGUCCAAGGGUACUGAAGAGACUAGUGAGACAAUGAAUUUGGUUUAUUGAUUUAAAUUUUAAUUGUUUUAUUGAGUGUGAACUUAAAAUUCUGUUCAUUGAUGUCGAAUAUAAGUUAAAAAUCUGUACUUUGGGCAAAUUAUGGGGUGGGGUAGGGGGAUACGAGCUUAUGGUAAUGCAUCUGUCUGUUAGAAGCUUGGCUAUUGAUUUUGAAGUAUUAAAUGAAGAAAGAUUAUCUGAGAAUGCGGCGUUAGUUGCAUUAUCUUUUGUAUUGUGAAUUAGCUUAGUGUGUGGUAUCUUUUGCAGUUGAUAGGCAGGUUAAAUGUGAGAACUGGAUCCGAGGAGACGAUGACAAUCAGUCCGAGCAAUCAAAGUCAUCAUGGUGGUUAAACCGACUUAUUACAGGGCAGACAAAGAAGAUGUCUACUGAUUGACCAUUUAAAAUUACUAACAUCAAUAUUCUCGUGAAUUGGACUUGAACAUAACGAAAUGGAUAUAGAAGAUAUAUAUAUAUAUGAUGAACACAAUUAUUGGAGAUUUAACGCGAAGUUGAUGACGGUUGAUCAACUACAUUCUUGUAAAUGCAGGAUUUUUUUGGAUAAAGUACCAAUAAGGAUAUAAAAAAAGGCAAAUCACACGUAAAGAUUCCUUCUC